UACGUAGGGGGCAAGCGUUGUCCGGAAUCAUUGGGCGUAAAGCGCGUGUAGGCGGCUUGGUAAGUCUGCUCUGAAAGCCCGGAGCUCAACCCUGGGAGGCGGGUGGAUACUGCUGAGCUCGAGUCCGGAAGAGGCGAGUGGAAUUCCUGGUGUAGCGGUGAAAUGCGCAGAUAUCAGGAGGAACACCAAUGGCGAAGGCAGCUCGCUGGGACGGUACUGACGCUGAGACGCGAAAGCGUGGGGAGCAAACAGG
RNAcentral lists this ribosomal RNA (253 nucleotides) under uncultured bacterium. RNAcentral's name for it is "partial 16S ribosomal RNA". It matches the Rfam family "Bacterial small subunit ribosomal RNA", at positions 524 to 776 of the family's 1533-position model. The record is from RNAcentral.